CCGUCCCAGUUCGGAUUGCAGGCUGCAACCCGCCUGUAUGAAGUUGGAAUCGCUAGUAAUCGCGGAUCAGCAUGCCGCGGUGAAUACGUUCCCGGGCCUUGUACACACCGCCCGUCACACCAUGAGAGUCGGGAACACCCGAAGUCCGUAGUCUAACUUUCACGAGAGGACGCGGCCGAAGGUGGGUUCGAUAAUUGGGGUGAAGUCGUAACAAGGUAAC
This 220-nucleotide ribosomal RNA is filed under the name uncultured bacterium. Its description in RNAcentral is "partial 16S ribosomal RNA". It matches the Rfam family "Bacterial small subunit ribosomal RNA", at positions 1283 to 1500 of the family's 1533-position model. The record is from RNAcentral.